GACGAACGCUGGCGGCGUGCUUAACACAUGCAAGUCGAACGGAAAGGCCCUGCUUUUGUGGGGUGCUCGAGUGGCGAACGGGUGAGUAACACGUGAGUAACCUGCCCUUGACUUUGGGAUAACUUCAGGAAACUGGGGCUCAUACCGGAUAGGAGCUCCUGCUGCAUGGUGUGGGUUGGAAAGUUUCGGCGGUUGGGGAUGGACUCGCGGCUUAUCAGCUUGUUGGUGGGGUAGUGGCUUACCAAGGCUUUGACGGGUAGCCGGCCUGAGAGGGUGACCGGGCACAUUGGGACUGAGAUACGGCCCAGACUCCUACGGGAGGCAGCAGUGGGGAAUAUUGCACAAUGGGCGGAAGCCUGAUGCAGCAACGCCGCGUGCGGGAUGACGGCCUUCGGGUUGUAAACAGCUUUCGCCUGUGACGAAGCGUGAGUGACGGUAAUGGGUAAAGAAGCACCGGCUAACUACGUG
RNAcentral lists this ribosomal RNA (468 nucleotides) under uncultured bacterium. Its description in RNAcentral is "partial 16S ribosomal RNA". It matches the Rfam family "Bacterial small subunit ribosomal RNA", at positions 28 to 507 of the family's 1533-position model. The record is from RNAcentral.